This 178-nucleotide non-coding RNA is filed under the name Betaproteobacteria bacterium RBG_19FT_COMBO_58_11. RNAcentral describes it as "6S RNA". It matches the Rfam family "6S / SsrS RNA". Rfam says of the family: E. coli 6S RNA was the first non coding RNA to be sequenced, but its function was unknown until recently. The record is from RNAcentral. Lineage: Bacteria; Pseudomonadati; Pseudomonadota; Betaproteobacteria.
AAUCCCCUGCGGUGUUUGUUUUGGGCUAAACAUUCCUUGAACCAAUGAAUCAUCCUUGGUUGCGGCAAAUCAGGUGCUUUUGUGCGCGUCCUUCGCGGAUGUACCUACGGCGCUCUUGUUGCGACCCCUUGAACCUCAGGUUCAGGAUGAUGGCCCGGACGGCAUUCGCGGGGGACCC